AUGCAACAUCGCGUUGAGCCUUGGAAAGGGCGCUGGCUGUCGAAGGCGGCUCGCGUGAUCCUUAUCAACUCUUCGCUUGCUAGCCUCCUUUGGUUCCUCAUGAGCUUUUACAGCCUCCAUGAAACCCUGCAUCAAGAGAUCGCCAAAUACCAAUCCAGAUUCUACUGGGCUGGGGAGGGGGAUAAGCAGAAGUACCACAUGGUCAGCUGGCCAGAUAUAUGCAAACCCAAGGACCAGGGCGGUCUUGGGAUUUUGUCCUCCCGGCGCAUGAACAUUGCCCUCCUGACCCGUUGGCUUUGGCACAUUGCCAAUGGAGAUGGAGGUCUCUGGCUUACUAUAAUCCAGAACAAAUACCUGCGUGGACAACCUCUCGCAUUUUGUCAGCGCUCAGGCGGCUCCCAGUUUUGGCAAGCCGUCGUCCAGCUGCUACCUGUUUUGCGCAUUGGCACAUCCAUCUCGGUGGGUACUGGGUCCUCGGCCCUGUUCUGGCUUGAUAGGUGGCUUGGCGACACCCCCCUAGCCGCUCGAUUUCCAGUCCUCUUUGACAUCAUUGUUGACCCUCGGGUAUCUGUAGAGACGGCCCUUAUUGACUUAGGGCGCCUCGCUUUCCGCCGCCCCUGUGGCCCCCUUGAGGUUGCGGCUUGGGAUGCCCUCCUCCAGGACAUCGCCCUCCUCCCUAUAGACGUUGUUGACUCCCCGGACGCCAUCUCUUGGCGACUGGAACCCUCCGGCUGCUUCUCCACCAGAUCCCUCUACGCGGCUAUCACCCCAUCGACGGCCCCGGAGCCCUUCAGUUUGAUUUGGGACAUCCGCCUGCCCCUGAAGAUCAGGAUCUUCCUGUGGCAAUGGAUCCGUGGCCGCCUCCCGUCCGGCGUUGAGGUCCUUAAACAUCACGGACCUGGAGAUGGGAUGUGCCCCAUGUGCGGCACGGUAGAGGAUGCCAACCACAUCUUCUUCUCGUGCUACACGGCACAGUUCCUUUGGUCCUGUUUCCGCGAAACGGUUGGGGGCCAGUGGUGCAACACUAACGUCCCUGACCUGCUUGCGGAAAUUCAGGCCUCACCCCCUCGCUACAGGCAUAUUAGAUGGCUUUGCGUGGGGAUCCUUGCCUGGACGCUGUGGACUGUUCGCAAUAAACUUGUCAUACAGAAGGUGCCUCUUCGGCGUGCUACUGACUCCAUCUUUAAAUUGUGUGGGUACUUGCAGCUCUGGCGGCAGCUUAGCCGCCCACAGGACUGGGACGUCAUCAGCAUCCUCCUCGCCGACCUUCGAUCGAUGGCCUUCCGCUUGGCGCCCCCGCUUCCCCCGCCACCCCCGGAGCCCGACUAG
RNAcentral lists this ribosomal RNA (1329 nucleotides) under Triticum aestivum (bread wheat). RNAcentral describes it as "partial small subunit ribosomal RNA". The record is from RNAcentral. Lineage: Eukaryota; Viridiplantae; Streptophyta; Magnoliopsida; Poales; Poaceae.